GACGAACGCUGGCGGCGUGCCUAAUACAUGCAAGUAGAACGCUGAAGAGAGGAGCUUGCUCUUCUUGGAUGAGUUGCGAACGGGUGAGUAACGCGUAGGUAACCUGCCUGGUAGCGGGGGAUAACUAUUGGAAACGAUAGCUAAUACCGCAUAAAAUUGAUUAUUGCAUGAUAAUUAAUUGAAAGAUGCAACUGCAUCACUACCAGAUGGACCUGCGUUGUAUUAGCUAGUUGGUGUGGUAACGGCUCACCAAGGCGACGAUACAUAGCCGACCUGAGAGGGUGAGCGGCCACACUGGGACUGAGACACGGCCCAGACUCCUACGGGAGGCAGCAGUAGGGAAUCUUCGGCAAUGGGGGGAACCCUGACCGAGCAACGCCGCGUGAGUGAAGAAGGUUGUCGGAUCGUAAAGCUCUGUUGUAAGAGAAGAACGGGUGUGAGAGUGGAAAGUUCACACUGUGACGGUAUCUUACCAGAAAGGGACGGCUAACUACGUG
Molecule: ribosomal RNA, 497 nt
Filed under: uncultured bacterium
Lineage: Bacteria
Description: partial 16S ribosomal RNA
Rfam family: Bacterial small subunit ribosomal RNA
Source: RNAcentral